This 253-nucleotide ribosomal RNA is filed under the name uncultured bacterium. Its description in RNAcentral is "partial 16S ribosomal RNA". It matches the Rfam family "Bacterial small subunit ribosomal RNA", at positions 524 to 776 of the family's 1533-position model. The record is from RNAcentral.
UACGUAGGGGGCAAGCGUUGUCCGGAUUUAUUGGGCGUAAAGAGCGUGUAGGCGGUUUGGUAGGUCCGCGGUGAAAACUCGAGGCUCAACCUCGAGACGCCGGUGGAAACCAUCAGACUAGAGUCCGGAAGAGGAGAGUGGAAUUCCUGGUGUAGCGGUGAAAUGCGCAGAUAUCAGGAAGAACACCCGUGGCUAAGGCGGCUCUCUAGUACGGUACUGACGCUGAGCCGCGAAAGCGUGGGGAGCGAACAGG